CGGACGGCAAACUUUAUAGAUAGGUAGGUAAUUAAUCAUUUUACGGACCAGGUCGUUUUUCGACUUUACCGGUUCAACGGCCGGACAAUAUCGAACAACCGAAAAAAAACGACGAGUACCAUCUAACUACACCUACACUUGAAAUUUUGUUUUAAUCCCGAUCAAAUUUUUUUUUUUUUUUGACGUGGUAAUAAUAUUAAAAAUUACUUGUCCGCCGGUAUCUGACCCAGCGUCGAAACGAGUCGAAUACCCAGUUUGUGUUUUUUUUCCUU
Cinara cedri is the source of this 272-nucleotide non-coding RNA. The record is from the annotation of a GenBank genome assembly. Lineage: Eukaryota; Metazoa; Arthropoda; Insecta; Hemiptera; Aphididae.